GUCCCUGAAGAAUAAGAGAAAAAAACAGCUGCCCCCUGCUGGUCAAACAUGCUAAGUGUUAGUGUAAUCCUCCUUCUAGGCUUGACCAACAAAGCUACUUAAUAAGAUUGGAUCACAUUCCUAGUGGAAUGAUGAUUGUCAAGACAUCGCUCCAGUCAUUUAAAGAUGGAAGAUGGCUUGAUGACAUGGAUGUUCAAAUGUGAGCCUGCACUGAAGGGUCCACUGACUCCUGAAUCGGACUUCAUCAGCCAACGUACUUGUAAAGGAGAAAGCUAUGUUAGCAUUUCUUUUUAUAAAAUACUACAAUAAUCAGAUCUACACAUGCUGUGAAAAACUUUUGUGUGUGAUUUCACAUAUAUCUGUCAACUAUGAAUGACCUGAAAUUGUCAUAGGAUAUUCAAUAUAUUUAUUCAGCUAUAUGCUUUAGACACUGACAGUAUAGUAAGAGAUUGCAGUGUAAGAUAUCUGUGUGAUGAUGUAUUUUUAAUCCUUAUGCUAACUAAGAGCGAUAAAACAUAAUCCAGUGUCUUUUGCAUGUUCCUAGGUGCACUUUAAUGGACACACUGUUAUAAUUAAUAUUUGACAUUGCAGUGCAUAUUAUGUACAUGAUACCAUGAUUCAGGCAUGUGCAAAAGUUUGAAUACUCCUGUUCAGAUGAGGUUUUGUUGAUUUUCUAAGUGAAAAUAAAACAAAAUAAUCUAAUAUAACAUCUUCUACAGGGAACACAAAUACAGGGUAUUUUUUCUACAAGUUUUAGCACUUCAGUUCUAUUUAUUUGCUGAGUUUACUGUACUUGCCCCCAAACUUUUGCAUUAUAGUAUGAAUUUUUCUGUAGCUACUUUGA
This is a long non-coding RNA of Colossoma macropomum (tambaqui), 844 nucleotides long. RefSeq lists it as uncharacterized. The record is from RefSeq and is a predicted model, not a curated record. The transcript has 3 exons. Lineage: Eukaryota; Metazoa; Chordata; Actinopteri; Characiformes; Serrasalmidae.